Non-coding RNA from Caenorhabditis elegans, 83 nucleotides. The record is from Ensembl. NCBI's taxonomy places the organism in Eukaryota, Metazoa, Nematoda, Chromadorea, Rhabditida, Rhabditidae.
AAAAAACAACAUUCGAGUGGACACUCCCUCACGGAAAACUACUAUUAUCAUUUCGAGGUCAAUCGCUAAUUGUGAACACUUUC